GCUCAGAUUGAACGCUGGCGGCAGGCCUAACACAUGCAAGUCGAACGGUAACAGGAAGCAGCUUGCUGCUUUGCUGACGAGUGGCGGACGGGUGAGUAAUGUCUGGGAAACUGCCUGAUGGAGGGGGAUAACUACUGGAAACGGUGGCUAAUACCGCAUAACGUCGCAAGACCAAAGAGGGGGACCUUCGGGCCUCUUGCCAUCAGAUGUGCCCAGAUGGGAUUAGCUUGUUGGUGAGGUAACGGCUCACCAAGGCGACGAUCCCUAGCUGGUCUGAGAGGAUGACCAGCCACACUGGAACUGAGACACGGUCCAGACUCCUACGGGAGGCAGCAGUGGGGAAUAUUGCACAAUGGGCGCAAGCCUGAUGCAGCCAUGCCGCGUGUAUGAAGAAGGCCUUCGGGUUGUAAAGUACUUUCAGCGGGGAGGAAGGUGUUGUGGUUAAUAACCGCAGCAAUUGACGUUACCCGCAGAAGAAGCACCGGCUAACUCCGUGCCAGCAGCCGCGGUAAUACGGAGGGUGCAAGCGUUAAUCGGAAUUACUGGGCGUAAAGCGCACGCAGGCGGUCUGUCAAGUCGGAUGUGAAAUCCCCGGGCUCAACCUGGGAACUGCAUUCGAAACUGGCAGGCUUGAGUCUUGUAGAGGGGGGUAGAAUUCCAGGUGUAGCGGUGAAAUGCGUAGAGAUCUGGAGGAAUACCGGUGGCGAAGGCGGCCCCCUGGACAAAGACUGACGCUCAGGUGCGAAAGCGUGGGGAGCAAACAGGAUUAGAUACCCUGGUAGUCCACGCCGUAAACGAUGUCUACUUGGAGGUUGUGCCCUUGAGGCGUGGCUUCCGGAGCUAACGCGUUAAGUAGACCGCCUGGGGAGUACGGCCGCAAGGUUAAAACUCAAAUGAAUUGACGGGGGCCCGCACAAGCGGUGGAGCAUGUGGUUUAAUUCGAUGCAACGCGAAGAACCUUACCUGGUCUUGACAUCCACAGAACUUUCCAGAGAUGGAUUGGUGCCUUCGGGAACUGUGAGACAGGUGCUGCAUGGCUGUCGUCAGCUCGUGUUGUGAAAUGUUGGGUUAAGUCCCGCAACGAGCGCAACCCUUAUCCUUUGUUGCCAGCGGUCCGGCCGGGAACUCAAAGGAGACUGCCAGUGAUAAACUGGAGGAAGGUGGGGAUGACGUCAAGUCAUCAUGGCCCUUACGACCAGGGCUACACACGUGCUACAAUGGCGCAUACAAAGAGAAGCGACCUCGCGAGAGCAAGCGGACCUCAUAAAGUGCGUCGUAGUCCGGAUUGGAGUCUGCAACUCGACUCCAUGAAGUCGGAAUCGCUAGUAAUCGUGGAUCAGAAUGCCACGGUGAAUACGUUCCCGGGCCUUGUACACACCGCCCGUCACACCAUGGGGAGUGGGUUGCAAAAGAAGUAGGUAGCUUAACCUUCGGGAGGGCGCUUACCACUUUGUGAUUCAUGACUGGGGUGAAU
This 1474-nucleotide ribosomal RNA is filed under the name Salmonella enterica subsp. enterica serovar Typhi. RNAcentral's name for it is "bacterial SSU rRNA". It matches the Rfam family "Bacterial small subunit ribosomal RNA". Lineage: Bacteria; Pseudomonadati; Pseudomonadota; Gammaproteobacteria; Enterobacterales; Enterobacteriaceae. The record is from RNAcentral.